RNAcentral lists this ribosomal RNA (253 nucleotides) under uncultured bacterium. Its description in RNAcentral is "partial 16S ribosomal RNA". It matches the Rfam family "Bacterial small subunit ribosomal RNA", at positions 524 to 776 of the family's 1533-position model. The record is from RNAcentral.
UACGGAGGGUGCAAGCGUUAUCCGGAUUCACUGGGUUUAAAGGGUGCGUAGGUGGGUUGGUAAGUCAGUGGUGAAAUCCCCGAGCUUAACUUGGGAACUGCCAUUGAUACUAUCAGUCUUGAAUACCGUGGAGGUUAGCGGAAUAUGUCAUGUAGCGGUGAAAUGCUUAGAUAUGACAUAGAACACCAAUUGCGAAGGCAGCUGGCUACACGAAUAUUGACACUGAUGCACGAAAGCGUGGGGAUCAAACAGG